AAAAAUGAAAAGUGUCAUUCACUUUAGGCGGUGGAUCACUUGGCUCGUGCGUCGAUGAAGAACGCAG
This 67-nucleotide ribosomal RNA is filed under the name Plectostoma concinnum. RNAcentral's name for it is "partial 5.8S ribosomal RNA". The stretch from base 20 to 67 matches the Rfam family "5.8S ribosomal RNA", at positions 1 to 48 of the family's 154-position model. From Rfam's summary of the family: 5.8S ribosomal RNA (5.8S rRNA) is a component of the large subunit of the eukaryotic ribosome. It is transcribed by RNA polymerase I as part of the 45S precursor that also contains 18S and 28S rRNA. The record is from RNAcentral. Lineage: Eukaryota; Metazoa; Mollusca; Gastropoda; Architaenioglossa; Diplommatinidae.